Molecule: ribosomal RNA, 497 nt
Filed under: uncultured bacterium
Lineage: Bacteria
Description: partial 16S ribosomal RNA
Rfam family: Bacterial small subunit ribosomal RNA
Source: RNAcentral
GAUGAACGCUGGCGGCGUGCCUAAUACAUGCAAGUCGAGCGAACAGACGAGGAGCUUGCUCCUCUGACGUUAGCGGCGGACGGGUGAGUAACACGUGGAUAACCUACCUAUAAGACUGGGAUAACUUCGGGAAACCGGAGCUAAUACCGGAUAAUAUAUUGAACCGCAUGGUUCAAUAGUGAAAGUCGGUUUUGCUGUCACUUAUAGAUGGAUCCGCGCCGCAUUAGCUAGUUGGUAAGGUAACGGCUUACCAAGGCAACGAUGCGUAGCCGACCUGAGAGGGUGAUCGGCCACACGGGAACUGAGACACGGUCCAGACUCCUACGGGAGGCAGCAGUAGGGAAUCUUCCGCGAUGGGCGAAAGCCUGACGGAGCAACGCCGCGUAAGUCAUGAAGGUCUUCGGAUCGUAGAACUCUGUUAGUAGGAAGGAACAAAUGUGUAAGUAACUAUGCACGUCUUGACGGUACCUGAUCAGAAAGCCACGGCUAACUACGUG